UACAGAGGUGGCAAGCGUUGUUCGGAAUUACUGGGCGUAAAGGGCGCGUAGGCGGUCAGCACAAGUCAGUUGUGAAAUCUCCGGGCUUAACUCGGAAAGGUCAACUGAUACUGUGCGACUAGAGUGCAGAAGGGGCAACUGGAAUUCUCGGUGUAGCGGUGAAAUGCGUAGAUAUCGAGAGGAACACCUGCGGCGAAGGCGGGUUGCUGGGCUGACACUGACGCUGAGGCGCGAAAGCCAGGGGAGCGAACGGG
Molecule: ribosomal RNA, 254 nt
Filed under: uncultured bacterium
Lineage: Bacteria
Description: partial 16S ribosomal RNA
Rfam family: Bacterial small subunit ribosomal RNA
Source: RNAcentral